UACGUAGGGGGCAAGCGUUGUCCGGAUUUAUUGGGCGUAAAGAGCGUGUAGGCGGCCAGACGGGUCCGUUGUGAAAACUCGAGGCUCAACCUCGAGACGUCGACGGAAACCGUCUGGCUAGAGUCCGGAAGAGGAGUGUGGAAUUCCUGGUGUAGCGGUGAAAUGCGCAGAUAUCAGGAAGAACACCUAUGGCGAAGGCAGCACUCUGGGCCACUACUGACGCUGAGAAGCGAAAGCAUGGGGAGCGAACAGG
RNAcentral lists this ribosomal RNA (253 nucleotides) under uncultured bacterium. Its description in RNAcentral is "partial 16S ribosomal RNA". It matches the Rfam family "Bacterial small subunit ribosomal RNA", at positions 524 to 776 of the family's 1533-position model. The record is from RNAcentral.